Molecule: non-coding RNA, 135 nt
Organism: Brachypodium distachyon (stiff brome)
Lineage: Eukaryota; Viridiplantae; Streptophyta; Magnoliopsida; Poales; Poaceae
Source: Rfam
CAUAUAUUCUCUCCGUCCAACAAAAGAUGUCUCAAAUUUGUCAAAAUUUGGAUGUAUCUAGACAUGACUUAGUGUAUAGAUGCAUUCAAAUUAGUCAAAGUUGAGACAUCCUUUGUUGGACGGAGGAAGUAUGAU